This 497-nucleotide ribosomal RNA is filed under the name uncultured bacterium. RNAcentral's name for it is "partial 16S ribosomal RNA". It matches the Rfam family "Bacterial small subunit ribosomal RNA", at positions 28 to 507 of the family's 1533-position model. The record is from RNAcentral.
GAUGAGCGCUGGCGGCGUGCCUAAUACAUGCAAGUCGAGCGAACGGACGAGAAGCUUGCUUCUCUGAUGUUAGCGGCGGACGGGUGAGUAACACGUGGAUAACCUACCUAUAAGACUGGGAUAACUUCGGGAAACCGGAGCUAAUACCGGAUAAUAUUUUGAACCGCAUGGUUCAAAAGUGAAAGACGGUCUUGCUGUCACUUAUAGAUGGAUCCGCGCUGCAUUAGCUAGUUGGUAAGGUAACGGCUUACCAAGGCAACGAUGCAUAGCCGACCUGAGAGGGUGAUCGGCCACACUGGAACUGAGACACGGUCCAGACUCCUACGGGAGGCAGCAGUAGGGAAUCUUCCGCAAUGGGCGAAAGCCUGACGGAGCAACGCCGCGUGGGUGAUGAAGGUCUUCGGAUCGUAAAACUCUGUUAUUAGGGAAGAACAUAUGUGUAAGUAACUGUGCACAUCUUGACGGUACCUAAUCAGAAAGCCACGGCUAACUACGUG